GAUGAACGCUGACAGAAUGCUUAACACAUGCAAGUCUACUUGAACUUCGGUUUGGGUGGCGGACGGGUGAGUAACGCGUAAAGAACUUGCCUCACAGUUAGGGACAACAUUUGGAAACGAAUGCUAAUACCUGAUAUUAUGAUUUUAGGGCAUCCUAAAAUUAUGAAAGCUAUAUGCGCUGUGAGAGAGCUUUGCGUCCCAUUAGCUAGUUGGAGAGGUAACGGCUCACCAAGGCGAUGAUGGGUAGCCGGCCUGAGAGGGUGAACGGCCACAAGGGGACUGGGACACGGCCCUUACUCCUACGGGAGGCAGCAGUGGGGAAUAUUGGACAAUGGACCAAAAGUCUGAUCCAGCAAUUCUGUGUGCACGAUGACGUUUUUCGGAAUGUAAAGUGCUUUCAGUUGGGAAGAAAAAAAUGACGGUACCAACAGAAGAAGUGACGGCUAAAUACGUG
Molecule: ribosomal RNA, 454 nt
Filed under: uncultured bacterium
Lineage: Bacteria
Description: partial 16S ribosomal RNA
Rfam family: Bacterial small subunit ribosomal RNA
Source: RNAcentral